ACGGAAGGCAGCAGUGGGGAAUAUUGCACAAUGGGCGUAAGCCUGAUGCAGCGAUGCCGCGUGAGGGAAGAAGGUUUUCGGAUUGUAAACCUCUGUCAACAGGGACGAAAAUGACGGUACCUGUGAAGGAAGCUCCGGCUAACUACGUGCCAGCAGCCGCGGUAAUACGUAGGGAGCAAGCGUUAUCCGGAAUUACUGGGUGUAAAGGGAGUGUAGGCGGGACUGUAAGUCAGAUGUGAGAUAUGCCGGCUCAACUGGCAGACUGCAUUUGAAACUGCGGUUCUUGAGUAAAGUAGAGGUAAGCGGAAUUCCUAGUGUAGCGGUGAAAUGCGUAGAUAUUAGGAGGAACAUCAGUGGCGAAGGCGGCUUACUGGGCUUUAACUGACGCUGAGGCUCGAAAGCGUGGGGAGCAAACAGGAUUAGAUACCCUGGUA
RNAcentral lists this ribosomal RNA (434 nucleotides) under uncultured Ruminococcus sp. RNAcentral's name for it is "partial 16S ribosomal RNA". It matches the Rfam family "Bacterial small subunit ribosomal RNA", at positions 341 to 792 of the family's 1533-position model. Lineage: Bacteria; Bacillati; Bacillota; Clostridia; Eubacteriales; Oscillospiraceae. The record is from RNAcentral.